This 429-nucleotide ribosomal RNA is filed under the name Triticum aestivum (bread wheat). RNAcentral describes it as "partial small subunit ribosomal RNA". Lineage: Eukaryota; Viridiplantae; Streptophyta; Magnoliopsida; Poales; Poaceae. The record is from RNAcentral.
AUGUCUCCUCCACGAGGACACAACACACAACGGGUAGCAACAAACAAACCGAAAGGGCCGCCGCCGCGGUACGUCGCGUUGUGCCGCGUCGCCAUCGACCGUGCACAACCCCGGACCCCUCUCUCAAGAGAGAAAGCUACAUGCAUCCUUGCCUUGUGGUUACCCUCCCCUCAGCAAUCUGUUCCAAGCACGGUCAUAUUCCGCGGGUUUUUUAAGCUUCAAAAAGCCACCACCAUACCAUGUGUUCUUCUCCCUUGUGAUGACAAGGAGCAGAGGUCAUUAACUAAUGUUCAUUCCAUGAGGCGGCCGGAGAGAAGGAAGACCGUCUUGCUCACUCCGAGGGCCUCUCACCGCAAUAAGAACAAACUUCAAGGUCCUUUCUGCAAAAAGGCCACCCCCACCUCCACAACAGUACAGCGAGUACUAUAA